This 21-nucleotide small nuclear RNA is filed under the name Arabidopsis thaliana (thale cress). RNAcentral describes it as "snRNA_19154". The record is from RNAcentral. Lineage: Eukaryota; Viridiplantae; Streptophyta; Magnoliopsida; Brassicales; Brassicaceae.
GAGUAAGAGACAGAAAGCGUA